RNAcentral lists this unclassified non-coding RNA (2388 nucleotides) under Harpegnathos saltator (Jerdon's jumping ant). RNAcentral's name for it is "uncharacterized LOC105187974, transcript variant X1". The record is from RNAcentral. Lineage: Eukaryota; Metazoa; Arthropoda; Insecta; Hymenoptera; Formicidae.
CGUCGUCUGAUGAUUCACACAUAAUCAUAGUGUAACGUGUAAAACGCACACAAUAUGAGCUUCUUAUGCAAUUGAUUAUUCGUCCCUAAAAUAUUACGUUAUCGGAAACUUUAUUUAUAUAUCGUUCUUCGCCCGUUUCCCCUGGAACUUAACCUCGAAAAAUUUUGUUCAAGAAGCAUUUUCAAAUCCAUUCUAAUGACUGGUCACAGGCACGUGACGUGACAUCACACAUAUAACUACAGUUCGCGUUAGAUCCCCCCCCAGGAAGAGUGAUGUUUCGUCGUGAUUUCACCACAAUUGUUUACAUUUAGCGUUGAAACCGUUCAGUUUAAGGCAUCGGAUAUUGUCCUUAGCACAUUUUUACUCGUCCAUGGGAUUUAUCGACGAUGAGUUACAAGAAGUCUCACGGCUCUGUCAAAACGUUGUCGAUGGAAGCCGACUCGUUUCCUGCGUGCAAAGUAUGGUCCGAGUCGAAAUAACGAAAACAACGUUCAAGAAACUUGUUGUGUGCAUUCAGUUUCCACAGGAUUAUCCCUCGUCACCACUGUUAAUUGAGUUAAAGAGUAAGACUUUAUCUACAAAGUUGCUAGAUGGCCUAACUAAAGUCUGCGAGAAGAAGUGCAAGGGCCUCUUGAACAAAGCACAGAUAUUACCGACUUUAAAGUUCAUCAGGAGUUAUAUCGAGGAGAAUUCCCUUAUCUGCUGUUAUGAGGAGAUCUCGAUAUUGAAAGAACUCCUAACAGAUCAAGACGAGUUAAAACUAAAGCAGAAGAAUUCCACCAUUCAUUUAAUAGUAAAUCAAGGCUUAUAUUAUUUUAAAACCAAGCUUGUAGUACCAGAUAAUUAUCCCACCAGUAACGUUAGUUUGACAGAUCCUGAUACAAACUUCUCACCGUUGCUUUGCCGUUACCUGGUGGGACAAGGAAAGGAAUUAGGAAGGCAAUGUGUCGAGCCACCAUUGAAGAAACAAGCACAAAAUACACCAUUCACACCAUCCCCAUCUUUAAACACUGUUGCUUCCUUUCUCAUAAAAACUGUAAAAGCUCUUCCUCAAGAGAAUUGCCAGCUAUGCAAAGUAACCUGCUUACCAGCCAACCCAGAGGAGGUUGUGCUCGACGAAAACGCGGACCUUCACGCCGAACGACUCUAUUGUGGUCAUCUAUUCCACUUACGAUGUUUCGUGACAUUCAUGAAGACUCCGCCGUUCCAUGGGGGUAAAAAGUGUCCAAGUUGCGGGCAACGCGUGUACCAUGACAAAUGGGGAUUAAGCGACAAAUUAGCGGAAGCACGUUGGGCUCAUCAGCAAGCACGAGCAAGAGAGUUGGCGGAAGUAGAAGAGUUUUUCAAUUGAAACCACACUUCGCAUGCGGGACUGUAAAUUAGCGCAAUAUUCAACGACAAAAACCUCUUUAGGAAACAUAUGUGUGACAAUAGACUAUACAUAAGAAGACGAAGCAACUGGCAUUUUGGAUAUAAACGAAAUGCUGAAGGAUCAAGUGAGGAGAAUUGCACAUAUAAGAUAUCGACCCCAUGUGUCGCGCACGUCGAUGCGCCAUGUGAGACAGGUCAGCUUGUUCAUUGGUGCACACAAUUCUGAUACAACCUAGGUCCCUAUCUUAGACGAAUAGCGAACGUUAAGUAAACUCUCUUAAUUCCAAGUUUCCUGGUUAUUUUGUCAACGUCUCAUGUAAUACCGUUGUUUCAGCUUGAGAAUCAGAGAAAGGCGUACUCAGCGUUCAGUGCAUGCGUCUAGCACCUCUGCUAAAGUUCGGAUCAAACGUAGUAAACCCGCAAAUCUGGAAGGGAGAUCUCGUGAAUUUGAGAUCUCCGUAAGCACCAGUACUAAUACAGUAACGCUACAUCAAUAUUAUAAUUUGAUAACUCAAAGAGCGAUGUAAGUGCAAUUUAACGCGUGUUAUCCAUAACAGUUACAUUGUUGCGAUGUUACCAUUUACUUGGAUGUCUCGAUUUUCGAUGCGUUCGUUUUAAGGUUGCCGUCUAUGUGAACGUUGCGAGCUUAACUCUUUGGAAAGGGGAGGGGGCAUACUAUUUUAAGACGAAAAGUACUAGUUGCAUAGAAAUUUUAUGUAAAAAAAAAAUAACACAAAGUGAGUUCGUUUCAUUUAUAAACGAUGAAAUCGCCGUGCUUUUCAAGUUAUCUUAAUGUUUCAAAAUGGAAUGAAGAACAUUCCACGGUACAUAUAUAGGGUGAGGCACGUAAAACAGACUAUCUGAAUAACUUUGAAAAUACGCAAGAUAGGAAAAAAUGUUAAAGAAUACAGAAGUUGUAAGGUUUUGAAUGACGUAGAUCACGUAGUAAUACUAGUACGACCUUGAACAGCGUCAUCAAGAUUACAGGAAGGUCACCUUGAAUUUUUUGAAUGGAAA